This 505-nucleotide ribosomal RNA is filed under the name uncultured bacterium. Its description in RNAcentral is "partial 16S ribosomal RNA". It matches the Rfam family "Bacterial small subunit ribosomal RNA", at positions 28 to 507 of the family's 1533-position model. The record is from RNAcentral.
GACGAACGCUGGCGGCGUGCCUAAUACAUGCAAGUAGAACGCACAGUUUAUACCGUAGCUUGCUACACCAUAGACUGUGAGUUGCGAACGGGUGAGUAACGCGUAGGUAACCUGCCUGGUAGCGGGGGAUAACUAUUGGAAACGAUAGCUAAUACCGCAUAAUAUUAAUUAUUGCAUGAUAAUUAAUUGAAAGGUGCAAUCGCACCACUACCAGAUGGACCUGCGUUGUAUUAGCUAGUAGGUGAGGUAACGGCUCACCUAGGCGACGAUACAUAGCCGACCUGGGAGGGUGAUCGGCCACACUGGGACUGGGACACGGCCCAGACUCCUACGGGAGGGAGCAGUAGGGGAUCUUCGGCAAUGGACGGAAGUCUGACCGAGCAACGCCGCGUGAGUGGAGAAGGUUUUCGGGUCGUAAAGCUCUGUUGUAAGAGAAGAACGGGUGUGAGAGUGGAAAGUUCACACUGUGACGGUAUCUUACCAGAAAGGGACGGCUAACUACGUG